Molecule: ribosomal RNA, 427 nt
Filed under: uncultured bacterium
Lineage: Bacteria
Description: bacterial SSU rRNA
Rfam family: Bacterial small subunit ribosomal RNA
Source: RNAcentral
GGAAUAUUCGUCAAUGGGGGAAACCCUGAACGAGCAAUGCCGCGUGAGUGAUGACGGUCUUUAUGAUUGUAAAACUCUGUUGUUAGGGAAGAAACCUUAUCAUAGGAAAUGAUGAUAAGCUGACGGUACCUUUCCAGAAAGCCCCGGCUAACUACGUGCCAGCAGCCGCGGUAAUACGUAGGGGGCGAGCGUUAUCCGGAUUUAUUGGGCGUAAAGCGUGUGUAGGCGGUUUGUUAAGUAUAAGAUUAAAGCCUGAGGCUCAACCUCAGUUCGUCUUAUAAACUGGCAGACUUGAGUAUGGUAGAGGCAAGUGGAAUUUCUAGUGUAGCGGUUAAAUGCGUAGAUAUUAGAAGGAACACCAGUGGCGAAGGCGGCUUGCUGGGCCAUUACUGACGCUGAGACACGAAAGCGUGGGGAGCAAAUAGGG